Daedaleopsis nitida is the source of this 97-nucleotide non-coding RNA. The record is from the annotation of a GenBank genome assembly. Lineage: Eukaryota; Fungi; Basidiomycota; Agaricomycetes; Polyporales; Polyporaceae.
UCCCGCUUAGCUCAGUGGUAGAGCGCAUCACUAGUACUGCUUCCCAACGUGGGAGAGUGCGAUGAUGAGGUCAGUCGUUCAAGUCGGCUAGCGGGAA